GUCAGGAUGGCCGAGCGGUCUAAGGCGCCAGACUCAAGGUUUACCUUGGCCUGCAAUGCAGGCUUGAUUUGAGCGUUCUGGUCCUCAUCUGAGGGCGUGGGUUCGAAUCCCACUUCUGACA
Non-coding RNA from Acyrthosiphon pisum (pea aphid), 121 nucleotides. NCBI's taxonomy places the organism in Eukaryota, Metazoa, Arthropoda, Insecta, Hemiptera, Aphididae. The record is from Rfam.